RNAcentral lists this ribosomal RNA (497 nucleotides) under uncultured bacterium. RNAcentral describes it as "partial 16S ribosomal RNA". It matches the Rfam family "Bacterial small subunit ribosomal RNA", at positions 28 to 507 of the family's 1533-position model. The record is from RNAcentral.
GAUGAACGCUGGCGGCGUGCCUAAUACAUGCAAGUCGAGCGAAUAGACGAGGAGCUUGCUCCUUCGACGUUAGCGGCGGACGGGUGAGUAACACGUAGGUAACCUAGCUAUAAGACUGGGAUAACUUCGGGAAACCGGAGCUAAUACCUGAUAAUAUUUCGAACCGCAUGGUUCGAUAGUGAAAGAUGGCUUUGCUAUCACUUAUAGAUGGACCUGCGCCGUAUUAGCUAGUUGGUAAGGUAACGGCUUACCAAGGCAACGAUACGUAGCCGACCUGAGAGGGUGAUCGGCCACACUGGAACUGAGACACGGUCCAGACUCCUACGGGAGGCAGCAGUAGGGAAUCUUCCGCAAUGGGCGAAAGCCUGACGGAGCAACGCCGCGUGAGUGAUGAAGGUCUUCGGAUCGUAAAACUCUGUUAUUAGGGAAGAACAAAGGUGUAAGUAACUGUGCACGCCUUGACGGUACCUAAUCAGAAAGCCACGGCUAACUACGUG